Molecule: transfer RNA, 48 nt
Filed under: Cucumis sativus (cucumber)
Lineage: Eukaryota; Viridiplantae; Streptophyta; Magnoliopsida; Cucurbitales; Cucurbitaceae
Description: tRNA-Gly (UCC)
Rfam family: tRNA
About the family: Transfer RNA (tRNA) molecules are approximately 80 nucleotides in length. Their secondary structure includes four short double-helical elements and three loops (D, anti-codon, and T loops).
Source: RNAcentral
CCCUAGCCUUCCAAGCUAACGAUGCGGGUUCGAUUCCCGCUAUCCGCU